UACGUAGGGUGCAAGCGUUGUCCGGAAUUAUUGGGCGUAAAGAGCUCGUAGGCGGUUUGUCGCGUCGAAUGUGAAAACCCGGGGCUCAACCCCGGGCCUGCAUUCGAUACGGGCAGACUAGAGUUCGGUAGGGGAGUCUGGAAUUCCUGGUGUAGCGGUGAAAUGCGCAGAUAUCAGGAGGAACACCAGCGGCGAAGGCGGCGCUCUGGGCCGGUACUGACGCUAGGAG
This 229-nucleotide ribosomal RNA is filed under the name uncultured bacterium. Its description in RNAcentral is "partial 16S ribosomal RNA". It matches the Rfam family "Bacterial small subunit ribosomal RNA", at positions 524 to 753 of the family's 1533-position model. The record is from RNAcentral.